This 458-nucleotide long non-coding RNA is filed under the name Mytilus galloprovincialis (Mediterranean mussel). Lineage: Eukaryota; Metazoa; Mollusca; Bivalvia; Mytilida; Mytilidae. The record is from RNAcentral.
CAGUUUUUAUACGCCCGUCGUCUUUUAGACGGGACGUAUUAUGGUAUACCGUUGUCCGUCCGUCCGUCCGUCCGUCGUCCACACUUCGGACAAUAACUCAAAAACAGUUUCACCAAUUUCCAUGAAACUUAUGUGAAUUGUUUAUAUCUAUUGACGUAAGCUCCCUUUCGUUUUUUUUUAAUUUCAGAUUUUAAGUUUUGGAUUUAUGGGGCUUUAUUCAUAAAAAAGGGGGGAUUUUCAACACUUCGGACAAUAACUCAAAAAGGCUUUCACCAAUGUCCAUGAAACUUUGGUGAAUUGUUUAUAUCUAUUGAUGUAAGCUCCCUUUCAAUUUUUAUAAAUUUCAGAUUUUAAGUUUUGGAUUUAUGGGGCUUUAUUCAUAAAAAAGGGGGAUUUUCAACACUUUCGGACAAUAACUCAAAAAGGCUUUCACCAAUGUCCAUGAAACUUUGGUGAAU